UGGCAGAUUUUAUUCAGUAAGUAUCUAUACAUGUUUACAUUCUUUGUCUUCUAACAGUCUAUUUCUGAGACUUUAAUAUGUACAAAGAGUAUAAAUAUUGGGAUCUGACUAUGUGGUUGCUGUUGACAGUGAGAUGUCUUGUCUGUCUUUUCAGGCAUUUUAAGCCAACACGAUGGCCAUGGGCUGCCUCCUCCAGUAUCUGCCCUUGUUCUCGUGCUCCUAAGCAAAACCAGGAAACAGCACUGGUCAUCACCAUGUCUGCUAAACAAAUAUGACUUUCUCUCCUUUGACAACAAAAAUCACCUGCACCAGACACCAAAGCAAUGCUGCAGAGCAGCUGAAACAUGCGGCCAAAACUCUCCUUGAGAACAAAGGCAAAAUGGAGCUUCAACAAGGCUGAGAUCUCAGGUAAAGCUUCUCACUCCAGAUAUGCCUAUGGUGGGAUGUUGCUCACAGGAGCAGAGUGUUUGAGCCAGACUGGGUACCGUGAGACCUUCCUGACAAGCCAAAAGGCUGUGCUGCCACUCAACAGGUCCUGGACAGGAUGGAGA
RNAcentral lists this long non-coding RNA (551 nucleotides) under Coturnix japonica (Japanese quail). RNAcentral's name for it is "lncRNA (ENSCJPG00005016562.1)". The record is from RNAcentral. Lineage: Eukaryota; Metazoa; Chordata; Aves; Galliformes; Phasianidae.